GACUCGUUAGCUCAGCAGGUAGAGCAAAUGACUUUUAAUCAUUGGGCCAAGGGUUCGAAUCCCUUACGAGUCACCA
Molecule: transfer RNA, 76 nt
Filed under: Bacillota bacterium
Lineage: Bacteria; Bacillati; Bacillota
Description: tRNA-Lys
Rfam family: tRNA
About the family: Transfer RNA (tRNA) molecules are approximately 80 nucleotides in length. Their secondary structure includes four short double-helical elements and three loops (D, anti-codon, and T loops).
Source: RNAcentral